GGGAAUUGCUUGAACCAGGGAGGUGGAGGUUGCAGUGAGCCAAGAUCGCACCACUGCACUCCAGCAUGGGUGACAGAGCAAGACUCUGCCUCAAAAAAAAAAAUUCAAAAAAAAGUUUAAAAAAAUAGUAAUUCAAUGUCAGGAAGGAUAAAUUAACAAGUAUCAUCAUAUACUGGUAUGAGGUGUAAACUGAUUCACACUUUCUGAAAACCCAUUUGGCAGUACAUAUCAAGAGACUACACUACUCAGGAAGCUGAGGUGGGAGGAUUGCUUAAGCAUAGGAGAUCGAGGUUGCAGUGGGCUAUGACAACACCACUGCACUCCAGCCUGGUCAACAGAGUGAGAUCCUGUCUCAAAACAGAAAGAAAAUUUCCAUAAUAAUAAUUUUCUCAAUGUUUGCCAAAGUGCUCAGCCUGGGCAAUAGAGCAAGACCCUGUCUGAAAAAUAAAAUAAAAUAAAAAUGUAAAAAUAAGCCAGGUACAGUGGCACAUGCCUAUAAUCCCAGCUACUCAGGUGGAUGAAGCAUGAGAAAUGCCUGAACCCAGGAGGCAGAGGUUGCAGUGAGCCAAGAUCACGCCACUGCCCUCCAACCUGGACGACACAGCAAGACUGUCUCAAAGAAAAAAGAAGGCCAGGUGCGGUGGCCUUACCAACAUGGUGAAACCCCAUCUCUACUAAAAAUACAAAAAUCAGCAGGGCAUGGUGGCGUGCGCCUGUAAUUCCGCUACUCAGGAGGCUGAGGCACAAGAAUUGCUUGAACCCGGGAGGCAGAUGUUGCAGUGAGCCGAGAUUGUGCCACUGCACUGCAGCCUGGGCGACAGAGCAAGACUCCAUCUCAAAAAAAAAAAAAAAAUGUAAAUCACUUUAUUUGAUAGAAAAGAGUUAACCUAAGUUAAGUAAAUAAACCAUCAUUUCUUAUGAUGUAGCCAGUUCAUAAUACACAAAUAUGCAAAAUAAAAAUUUUUUUCAAUCCAGCUAGUGAUCAGUAGAUUUAAUAAGUCACCAUUUUGUAACCACCAAAUUCAGUUUGUUUGCUUGUUUGUUUUAAAAAAAAACUUUUAAAAUGUUGAUCCUCACUGAGGGCACAUUUGCACUAUUACAGGUACGUGUACUGAUACAUUGCUAAGAAAAGAGUAAAUUGGUGCAGCCCUUUUGGAAAAAGUUGGCACCAGACAUCAAGAAUUCUAAAAAUGUUUAUACUCUGACAUGUUCAUGUCACCCUGAGAAUAUAUCUUAAAGACCACAAAGUGUGUAUAAUUAUGGCAACCUUAUGUUCCAGAUUUUCUAAGAAGGUGUUCACUGUAAAUAAUUGUGUUCUUUUCAAUAAAGGCAAAUCAGUAAGUUAGUAACUAAGUUUGAGAAUAAUGGAAGUCAUCCUUACUAAUUAAGAGUGAUCUUGAAAGCCUCGGGUGCUAAGGGUCUUUUUUCUUUUUACCCCUGUCCUGAGUAUUCCCUUAUAUCCUUCCCUCAAAGGCCAAAGCUAGAGACAGCAGAUACGUUUUUAUGCAAUUGGACCUCAAUGCUUCUCGAAAUAUGCGAAUGAACAACUUUCUUGAAUGUCUUACCCCACCACUCUU
RNAcentral lists this long non-coding RNA (1577 nucleotides) under Homo sapiens (human). Its description in RNAcentral is "non-protein coding lnc-C1QTNF1-9:1". The record is from RNAcentral. Lineage: Eukaryota; Metazoa; Chordata; Mammalia; Primates; Hominidae.